This 497-nucleotide ribosomal RNA is filed under the name uncultured bacterium. RNAcentral describes it as "partial 16S ribosomal RNA". It matches the Rfam family "Bacterial small subunit ribosomal RNA", at positions 28 to 507 of the family's 1533-position model. The record is from RNAcentral.
GAUGAACGCUGGCGGCGUGCCUAAUACAUGCAAGUCGAGCGAACAGACGAGGAGCUUGCUCCUCUGACGUUAGCGGCGGACGGGUGAGUAACACGUGGAUAACCUACCUAUAAGACUGGGAUAACUUCGGGAAACCGGAGCUAAUACCGGAUAAUAUAUUGAACCGCAUGGUUCAAUAGUGAAAGACGGUUUUGCUGUCACUUAUAGAUGGAUCCGCGCCGGAUUAGCUAGUUGGUAAGGGAACGGCUUACCAAGGCAACGAUGCGUAGCCGACCUGAGAGGGUGAUCGGCCACACUGGAACUGAGACACGGUCCAGACUCCUACGGGAGGCAGCAGUAGGGAAUCUUCCGCAAUGGGCGAAAGCCUGACGGAGCAACGCCGCGUGAGUGAUGAAGGUCUUCGGAUCGUAAAACUCUGUUAUUAGGGAAGAACAAAUGUGUAAGUAACUAUGCACGUCUUGACGGUACCUAAUCAGAAAGCCACGGCUAACUACGUG